GGCAGGCCAGAGUCUGGGGAAAGGCGGAGCCGCUGAGCUAGGAUGUGGCGUGGCCCGGCACGGUGGAGGAACCACUUCUGACUUUUCGACGAAUGGGCCUGUGAGCAUGUGUCCUAACAGUGUCUGGGGCUGGGGGAGACCAGCUGACCUCAGCCGGCUUUCCUGGGCCACCUGCCUUUACGGCGAGAGAGCUUUUUACACGAAUCAGAUUGAAGGUUGGGUGGGUAGUAUAAUGUAAAGCCGGACACCAGUUGUGCUCGUUCUGUUUUGGUCUUUGCAAAGGUAUCCGGAGCAUCUGAACCAAAGACCAGAUUGGCUGUCGUUCUGUUCAUGAACGCUGUGGGAGUCUGUCUCUGCUGAAAGCAGGCCGGCAGGAGUGUUUGUAGAUUCCCUGGCUGAGUCAGUUCCAUGCCACUUGGAAGCCCGGCCCACGGGCACCUCCGUCUGCCUGCACUGCCUUUGAUCAGACUCUGCAGGUCCUGAUGUCGCGCUAGGCUAGAACUGGACAAGAUCUCGUUCUAGAGCAGAGACGGCCAACCCACAGGCACCCAGUAACUUGGCCGACUCAAAGCUAAUAAGCAGCCGAGACAGAAUGAGGACUCCCCGUUCCUGGUUUUUCUUUUUCUUUUUGUGCAAAGACCUAUGCGUUGAGCUGGGAAAUUAGCACAGUAUUUAUUGGCUCGUGUGGUCCAGGAAGAAGCCUGGAGCUCAUUGUGGGCAGGAUUAAAGACAUAAGCAAAGCGAACCUUGCCCCCAACUCAAAUGUUGCCUUUAAGAGUAUUGAAAAGGAUAGUUUGGGAGAGGGCAUAGUUUUCUCCAUGAUAUUAACCUAAAAGCCCAGUAGACCACAUUUAUAAUUAUAUCCAAACCGCUUAUCACAAGGGUAAUAAACCUUUUGGAAUUUUGCUACCAUCGUAUAAGGUGUGGGUGUGUGCGGUUUGGGAUAAUUAACAGUAAGAGGCAGUAACAGGGAAGCAUAGUAGUAGUAGUACUGAGAUCUGGGAUUUUAACCCAAAGACACACGCUAAAACUGCGCAGAAGAGAAGACACAGUCUCGGGCAGGGCGGUGGGAUUCUUCCAACCCUGUCGGUGACAGGUACGUAGUAAAACCCUUUCUGUCUAUAAUCUCUCACGGGAGGUUUAAAGCAUGAGAGCCAUCCUUCUUCUGAGUUAAGACGUUCCAUUUUAAAGAGAGUAAUGCUUUUCACAUAAAGACUGGUAAGAACAAGGAUGCCUUAGAUGUGGGCGGGAGGGGGUUUCAGGCUCUGGCCCUCUUCGUUUCCUGAUGCCCAUCUAUGGUGGGUAUCCCCAUUCGAGAAGGGGUUUCAGAGAAGUACUUUCACUAUUACUGCAAUUAUGGGAAGUAAAAAUUCAUUUUAAUAUAGAAUACAAUUUGAAGCAAUAGGUCAUAUUUAAAUAAGGGAUUUUAAAGAAAUAUGCCAGUGGUUACAGAUUUUAGCUACCGGGGCGAAGGGCAAAAUUUUAAUGCCUCGUGUACAACAGAAAAGGGAAAUGUAGUUCGAAUUAGGAAAUCAUGUAAUUUGGGAGGUAUAAACAGACUGAUGGUUCCAAUAAGAAAAUCAAGAAACUAAAAGCAAUCUCAGUCACAUGCCAACUUUAAGCUUUACUUAAAGUAAAAUUAGAGUAUGAAGACUAUUUGACAAUACAUGAGCAUAAAUUCUGCCCUCCCGGAAAUAACCAAAAAAGGAAAGCAUAUGUAAAUGCCCUUAACAAAAAGUUAUGUCUGUGAAAUACACAUGUAGCCAUUGUUCAAGGGCAAUGUGUAUUUUAUAUUGACCUCUGCGGUCAGUUUUAAUCAAAGGCUACACAGAUAUUUUGAUGUGAUCAGUUUCAAUUAAACCCACAAUUUUGAUGUGAAAUUGAAAAGCUGGUAAACUGGAAGCCACAGCACAUGUGCAGAGACUCCCAGGAGACCUCAUUUUGUUAAAAAAAAAUCCGGGAUCACUGCGAACGUUGAGAUCUGAAAGGAAAAAGGAGGUAAUUUUAUCCUUCCCUUGCAGGAUCCUGUACCGGGGUCCUAAAUCCUGGAUCAUACCCAGAGUAUUGGCCCCAGAAGGAGCCUUAGCAGUGAUGGCCCAAGCCUCUACUGUGCAGGCGACGAGUGUGAGGCCAGAAAGGGAAACUAAGAGCACAUACCGAAGCUUUACUUGGCCAAUCUGAUACAUCCUGAACCAGCGCGGAAGCUACUCUUUCUGAUGGAAUCAGCCACCCAGGGACAUUUCCAAAGCCAAACCACCCGCCAGGGCUAACACACAAACAAGACGAGCCCAACACAGGCAGCGAGGGGCCUGGCCCGGCUUGCACCCAGUGAUGUCAAGCAAUAGCCUCUCGUGCCCAAAUUAAGAAUCCCAAACAGGUGAGGGGUUCUGGCCACUGAGCAGACCUGUCAGCUCGUCCUGAGCCUCACGGCCGACAGGUCCAACCCUAUCAUGACCUCCCCGGAGCCAGCCUCACCUGGUCCUUGGUGCUCAGUUCCUGGGCAUCUGAUGUCCAGUGCCACCAAGCUCCAAGCGGAACAGAGCACACGACACCUGCAUGUUUAGAAUGACCUGGCAUAUGACCCUCAAAAAAAGCAGGGAGGCCACAAAAGGAGCUACUCUGACCUGGGUUUGCACAGAGAAAACCCUCAGUAUAAAAAGACUGCACUGAGCUGCCCUAACUCACUUCUCAGCAUUCACGUUAAAAAAGGCUUUAGAUUGUAUGUUUUCUAUAAGUCACCCAACACGGAGAAAGUCACGGCAGGUCUUUUCAUGGUCCUCGAGAUGUCAGCUGAGCAACUUGCAAUAAAAAAGAAACCUGCGUUGGGGAACUCUUUUUUGGACGGCAGAGUCAAAUGUGUGCCCCUCCUUACUCUAAAAAGCAGGAAGGAGAAGUGUCUUCUCCUUUCUGGUUUGACCACCUUUCCUGUCUCUGUGGGUCAGCACAGAGCCAGGAAGCUGCAAGCAUCAGGGUUUGCCUUACAAGUUUAAGUGCGUGUGUUAGGCCUCGAAUUAAGCAGCCCGAGUGAAGGAACCGUGUGAGGGAUGGUGUGCUUCCAGACAGCAGUUUUUGGACACAUCUUGCACAAUCUCUGUCGUCGUGGUCUGGGUUUGGGGCAUCACCCCGUGUUCUCUGAGAUGGAAAUGGCCCAUUUAUGGCCGUGAAUGUUCAUCACCGACAAAAUCUCUAAAGUUCUAAAUGACGCGUUCUAGGUGCUUAACGAAGGGUCUCUAGCUGAUCUUUCCCCGACUUAGAAGAGGUGGCUUUUUCAAUUUGAUUUUUAAGCUCCAGGCCCACAAGCAUGAAAUAGUCACACGUGUUAAAAAAUACUGCUGUUUAAUUUUCUAGUCACGUACUUUUAAAAAGCUGAUACAAUUAGACGUUUCCCCCGUCUUCUCAGAUCUGCCCCUGAAACCACCCAAAGGCUGUGCAUCUUAAUUUCCAGCGCUCAUAUAUAUGGAGGAAAAGUCGCUCGGGGGAAGCACAUGAAGAUUUGUCCCCAUGGUGGGCACACCCAAGGGUCACUUGUCCAGAAACGUGAAUGCAACCCUGCGAUGGUCAUGGCUGACUUGCCCUUACAUUCUUUUUUCUUUUUCUUUUUUUUUUUUUUAAUGAGGAACAAUAUGAUUACACAGCACUGAAAACAAUAAACACAAAAGGCUCGCCUUUUUCCUUUUUUGCCCUUCCGGCAAAGUAUUCCAUUCCCACUAUUGUCUAUGCCAGCUGAUCCCAGUUACACCCGUCACCCACCCAGAAUUAAAAAUAGUUCUCUUGUCAUCUACUGAUCCUCACAUUUAUAUACAAGUGACUCUGUAAAACUGUAAGAAGAUACAAUACAAUACGUUUCAACUGCAGGUACGUG
Felis catus (domestic cat) is the source of this 3862-nucleotide long non-coding RNA. RefSeq lists it as uncharacterized. The transcript has 2 exons. NCBI's taxonomy places the organism in Eukaryota, Metazoa, Chordata, Mammalia, Carnivora, Felidae. The record is from RefSeq and is a predicted model, not a curated record.